AUUGAACGCUGGCGGCAGGCCUAACACAUGCAAGUCGAGCGGAUGAAGGGAGCUUGCUCCUGGAUUCAGCGGCGGACGGGUGAGUAAUGCCUAGGAAUCUGCCUGGUAGUGGGGGAUAACGUCCGGAAACGGGCGCUAAUACCGCAUACGUCCUGAUGGAGAAAGUGGGGGAUCUUCGGACCUCACGCUCUCAGAUGAGCCUAGGUCGGAUUAGCUAGUUGGUGGGGUAAAGGCCUACCAAGGCGACGAUCCGUAACUGGUCUGAGAGGAUGAUCAGUCACACUGGAACUGAGACACGGUCCAGACGCCUACGGGAGGCAGCAGUGGGGAAUAUUGGACAAUGGGCGAAAGCCUGAUCCAGCCAUGCCGCGUGUGUGAAGAAGGUCUCGGAUUGUAAAGCACUUUAAGUUGGGAGGAAGGGCAGUAAGUUAAUACCUUGCUGUUUUGACGUUACCAACAGAAUAAGCACCGGCUAACUUCGUG
RNAcentral lists this ribosomal RNA (483 nucleotides) under uncultured bacterium. RNAcentral describes it as "partial 16S ribosomal RNA". It matches the Rfam family "Bacterial small subunit ribosomal RNA", at positions 30 to 507 of the family's 1533-position model. The record is from RNAcentral.